AGAGUUUGCAACACCCAAAGUCGGUUCGGUAACCUUCGGGAGCCAGCCGCCUAAGGUGGGACAGAUGAUUAGGGUGAAGUCGUAACAAGGUAGCCGUAGGAGAACCUGCGGCUGGAUCACCUCCUUUCUAAGGAAUAAUACGGAAGCCCUGCACUGAGACAAAACUUUGUUUAGUUUUGAGAGGUCUACUCUCAAACUGGGUUCUUUGAAACUAGAUAAUAUCCAAUUUUCUUUUAUUAAUUAAUAAUUUCAUUUAAUUAACCCGAGAACCACCCGCGUUAUUUUGAGUUUUUUAUUAGUAGUUAAACUACUUCGCAUAUACUCAAUUAACUGAAAUCAUAGGUUAGUGAUUUAGGUUAAGUUAACAAGGGCGCAUGGUGAAUGCCUUGGCACUAGGAGCCGAUGAAGGACGGGACUAACACCGAUAUGCUUCGGGGAGCUGUACGUAAGCUAUGAUCCGGAGAUUUCCGAAUGGGGAAACCCAGCCAUCUUAACCGAUGGUAUUGCUUAGUGAAUACAUAGACCAGUCAUAGGUAA
RNAcentral lists this unclassified non-coding RNA (537 nucleotides) under Levilactobacillus brevis. Its description in RNAcentral is "Lactobacillus brevis partial contains 16S ribosomal RNA, 16S-23S intergenic spacer, and 23S ribosomal RNA". The stretch from base 355 to 537 matches the Rfam family "Bacterial large subunit ribosomal RNA", at positions 1 to 183 of the family's 2925-position model. The record is from RNAcentral. Lineage: Bacteria; Bacillati; Bacillota; Bacilli; Lactobacillales; Lactobacillaceae.